GUGCUAUCGCUCCGGCAGCACAUAUACUAAAAUUGGAAUGAUACAGAGAAGAUUAGCAUGGCCCCUGUGCAAGGAUGACACGGAAAAGUAGGUAACUCAAUUUAA
Molecule: small nuclear RNA, 105 nt
Organism: Sorex fumeus (smoky shrew)
Lineage: Eukaryota; Metazoa; Chordata; Mammalia; Eulipotyphla; Soricidae
Source: RefSeq, a predicted model, not a curated record